UUAACCAUGAAUUAUCAGAGCCAGUGGUAUUUCUUUGUGUAUACUAAUGCAACUGAGUCUUAAUUAAUGCUGAGUUCAAAAUACAUCCUCGUAUAAUUCAAUUGUAAUAUAUAUUCCCAUAUAAUAUACAUAUAUUCAAGUAUAUAAUACAUAUUCCAGUAUAUAAUACAUAUUCCAGUAUAUAAUAUAUUUUCCUAUAUAAUACAUCCUAGUAUAAUUCAAGUAUAGUUCAAGCAGAAGUACUUUGGCCUGUUAGCCCCUUAGAAAUAUGUGCCAAGCAGGCAAGUUAAAUUUUUAACUUGUUCCUCAGGUAAAGUGAAAAAAGUGUUGAUGUUUGGUUUUCCAGGGAUGUUUCCAUUCUUGCAUUGCUUUGCAAUGCUUCCUGAACAACGGCAGCUUAUGGCUAAUGAACCACUGGAAAAAUUGGGAUUUAAAGACCUGAUAAAUGAGAAAUCAGAAGAAAAACCUGAAAAGUUGUGAUGAAGACAGACAACUUUGCUCCUCAUGUAUGGAAUGCAUAACUCUAAAUGUAGUACAUAUUGUACCUUCUAUUCAUAUUGCAGUAGGAAAUGUUUUCUAAAGGAACAUUUUUUCCAGAGUUUAAUUUUCCUAAAAUAAGAGGUUUUUUUAAAUGAGCAAAAGUACUGCCUUUGUCUGCUUUGCUCAAGUAUUUCUUAACUUCUUUCUUUUAAUUUCUCUAGAGGGAAAACAGUUACUGCCUGAAGUGUUCUCCAUGUCUCUGUAAGAACAGUGAAGUCUUAUUUUAAAAGGACAAAAGCCCCAAACCAAACAACCCUUUAUUGUGUAGAUCUUGAACUACUGAUUAAUCUUGUGUGGGCAGUACUAAUAUGCUCAUAGGAGUUGCUUGUUAGGUGGAAAUAAAGCUGUUGUGGUACUUGCAAAUUGCUUUUCAUUAAA
RNA transcript from Manacus vitellinus (golden-collared manakin), 918 nucleotides. RefSeq lists it as uncharacterized. NCBI's taxonomy places the organism in Eukaryota, Metazoa, Chordata, Aves, Passeriformes, Pipridae. The record is from RefSeq and is a predicted model, not a curated record. The transcript has 2 exons.